Molecule: non-coding RNA, 107 nt
Organism: Cicer arietinum (chickpea)
Lineage: Eukaryota; Viridiplantae; Streptophyta; Magnoliopsida; Fabales; Fabaceae
Source: Rfam
GAUUACAAAUGCUUGUAUCUCAAAGUUUAAUUAGUGCUACACGAGAAGAUUAGCAUGGCCCCUGCGCAAGAAUGACACGCAUAAAUCGAGAAAUUGUCCAAAUUUUU